This 347-nucleotide ribosomal RNA is filed under the name Bacillus velezensis. RNAcentral describes it as "bacterial LSU rRNA". It matches the Rfam family "Bacterial large subunit ribosomal RNA", at positions 2582 to 2925 of the family's 2925-position model. Lineage: Bacteria; Bacillati; Bacillota; Bacilli; Caryophanales; Bacillaceae. The record is from RNAcentral.
CGCCCAUUAAAGCGGUACGCGAGCUGGGUUCAGAACGUCGUGAGACAGUUCGGUCCCUAUCCGUCGCGGGCGCAGGAAAUUUGAGAGGAGCUGUCCUUAGUACGAGAGGACCGGGAUGGACGCACCGCUGGUGUACCAGUUGUUCUGCCAAGGGCAUCGCUGGGUAGCUAUGUGCGGACGGGAUAAGUGCUGAAAGCAUCUAAGCAUGAAGCCCCCCUCAAGAUGAGAUUUCCCAUUCCGCAAGGAAGUAAGAUCCCUGAAAGAUGAUCAGGUUGAUAGGUCUGAGGUGGAAGUGUGGCGACACAUGGAGCUGACAGAUACUAAUCGAUCGAGGACUUAACCAAUUU